Molecule: long non-coding RNA, 856 nt
Organism: Arachis duranensis
Lineage: Eukaryota; Viridiplantae; Streptophyta; Magnoliopsida; Fabales; Fabaceae
Exons: 3
Source: RefSeq, a predicted model, not a curated record
ACCGGAAAUUAUAAAACCGGAUAUAAACCGUUAAACCGGACAAAAACCGGCCGGUCAAACCGGAACCGGAACCGCCCGGUUUGAAUAAAACGGCGCCGUUUCGCGCUUAAGGGGAGAAACAAAACGCCCUUCACCAUCUCCUUCCUUAUUCCUUCGAGCAGAAGUGCAGAACACGCUUGGCCUCAACCAGGGAAAAAUCCUAGCCGCCACCACCGCCACCACCGCCGCAGGGAGGAGCCGUGUUUGCCGCCGUCCAUCGCAGUCAGGGGCUUGUCUCCUCGAGUCUUCGUGCGUCACAGUCAGGGGAGUUCUCCAAGUCUUCGAUCUGUUCGCAGUAACCAGUCGCAGGUGCACUGCUUCUUCCUUGAGCUCGGCCGCCGUCGUGUUGUCGCCGUUGUUUGUCGCUGUUGUUUGUCGCCAUCUGUAGCAGUCAGGGGUUUGUCACCAAGGAGUCUCUCUUCGUCUGUUGGCAUUAUCCAAGUCAAACCCCCUGUUCGCUGUCUUUUUCCUCGCUCGGCGCCCAUCCUCCAUCGGAUUCGUCCUGCUUGCCGUCGUCUUGUCGCCCUCGCCCUCUCGAAGGGAUUUCAGGUUGAACUUCCGAGGUUGGUGGAAAUGGAUUUUUUAACAUUUUUGUCAAGCUGAAUAUGCAAUCCUCUGCACCAAAUUGUGGGAGACAUUAAUGGGCAAGUGGGGCUGCACCAAUUAGAUUCAAUACAUCUAAUGUGAUCAAGUGGAAGGAAGCAAAACUGCAAAACAAAACCAGGGGUUGCAAAAUACAAAAAUAAAUUGAAGUGAACCAGUAACUAGAGCGGUUUGAUGACCGGUCCGGUUUUCCGAACCUUGGUAAAAACCAAAA